This 1609-nucleotide long non-coding RNA is filed under the name Homo sapiens (human). RNAcentral describes it as "HSALNT0360468". The record is from RNAcentral. Lineage: Eukaryota; Metazoa; Chordata; Mammalia; Primates; Hominidae.
UUCCACCAUGAUUGUGAGGCCUCCCCAGCCAUAUGGAACUGUGCCUCACUCUAGUCCUGACCCUGUUACCACCAAAAUAUCCCCACUGAGGAACUUCUAGUGAAUAUAUUUCAAGAAGAAGGGAACUAACCCCAGGAAGAAGACUGAAAGCUUCAUGAGGAUAAACUGAGACUCUUCGCUAUUGAAAUUCUAUUGCCAGGCGCAUCCCCCAGCCCACAUCUACAGAUAUUUGAGCACCGAUCACGAUGGUUAAUUUUAGGUGUCAACUUGUUUGGAUUAAGGCAUACCUAGAGAACUGGUAAAGCAUUAAUUUUAGGUGGAUCUGUGAGAGUGUUUCCAGAGGAGAUUGGUGUGUGAGUCAGUGGAUUGAGUGGGGAAGAUCAACCGUCAAUGUGGGUAGGCACCAUCCAGUCAUCUGGAGGCCCGGAAAGAAAAAAAGGCAGAGGAAUGGUGGAUUCUUUCUCUCUCUCUCUCUCCUGGGGCUGGGAAACCCUUCUUCUCCUGCCGUUGGACAUCAGAACUCUGGGCUCCUCGGCCUUUGGGCUCCAGGACUUACACCAGCCCUCCCUGGGUUCUCAGGCUUUUGUCCAUGAACUGAGAGUGACACCAUCAGCUUUCCUGGUUCUGAGGCCUUCGAACUUGGACUGAGCCACACUAGUGGCAUCCAUGGGUCUCCAGCUUGCAGAUGGUCUAUUGUGGGACCUCUCCAUAAUCGCCUGAGCCAAUUCUCCUGAUAAAUCUCCUCUCAUAUGUCUAUAUUUUCUAUUGAUUCUAUCUUUCUGGAGAAGUCAAAUACACAUACUACCUUCAAGCACUGUUCUAAGUACUACAGAGAUAGGCAAUGAUGAGCAAAAUAUAGACAUGAUUCCUGUCUUUACAACCCUUGCUGUCUAGGCUCAUGAUUUUUAAACAUUUCAACUGGUACACACUUACCACACAAUGAUAAAGAUUUGAUGUAUCUUUAGUACAUGACGUACUCUGAUGUUUUCUAUUUUAUUCAUGUUUUUUCCUAAAUUAAAAGGGCUGUCACAACCUGCUAGUUGAUUUUAUGACCCAUGACUGCUCAGAUUAUUCUUGCAGUUUGAAAACCAUUGACCCAGUGCAGAGGUUCGGAAUCUCUUCUCUGUCAUGGAUUCCUCAAAAACAUAUUUUACAAUGCACAAAACAAUGUAUAUAGGAUUAGAAAGGAAACCCACUACCUUAAAGUGCAAUUACAAGAAUAUUUUAGUAAACGAAUGUGUCAUAUAUUAAUAUGUGUGCUUCAUUAUUAAUGCAUUCAACACAAGAUCUGACAACCAACUCAUAUUGCUGUAAUUUUGAAGUGAUGAGCAGAAAUGCUAUUUUUAGAAUUCUGCAACUGUAAUGUGAUAUUAAAAUAUCUAUGAUUAUUAUUAGUGACAAAGUCAUAGGCACUGCUAAUACUACUUUUGAGUGUCACAUUCAUGAUUGAAGGAAUGCUACAUUUCAGGUUAGUGAAAACAAAGAAAUGUUUUUUCACCAUCCAAAUUAAUAAAUCCCAAAAUGUCUGUGGAUCCCCAGAUAGGAAUCCCUGGUCUAAUGGAUCCACAUUUUAUCUCAGUAAUACCAAAAAAAAAUUUUUUUUCUAAGA